Mastomys coucha (southern multimammate mouse) is the source of this 393-nucleotide non-coding RNA. The record is from the annotation of a RefSeq genome assembly. Lineage: Eukaryota; Metazoa; Chordata; Mammalia; Rodentia; Muridae.
UCUAAGCUCAGACUCACCAAAGGAUCUGGAAUCCGGGCCCGUGCUUACGAAGAGAAUAUGAAGCAGGUGGCAAAAGUGGCAUUGCUCCUGAUCUUGGCCUCGUGGAGCCUUGCCAAGACCACCCAGCCCCUCUCCAUGGACUCCUAUGAAGGCCAAGAAGUGAAUGUGUCCUGCAGCCAUACCAACAUUGCUACAAACGAGUACAUCUACUGGUACCGGCAGGUCCCCCAGCAGGGACCACAUUUUAUCAUUCAAGGAUAUAAGGACUAUGUGGCAAAUGAAGUGGCGUCUCUGUUUAUCUCUGCUGACAGGGAGCUCAGCACUCUGAGCCUGCCCCUGGUUUCUGUGAGAGACGCUGCUGUAUAUUACUGCCUUGUGGCUGACACACAGUGA